Molecule: ribosomal RNA, 446 nt
Filed under: uncultured bacterium
Lineage: Bacteria
Description: bacterial SSU rRNA
Rfam family: Bacterial small subunit ribosomal RNA
Source: RNAcentral
GAUGAACGCUGGCGGCGUGCUUAACACAUGCAAGUCGAACGGGAAACUUUUCAUUGAAGCUUCGGCAGAUUUGGUCUGUUUCUAGUGGCGGACGGGUGAGUAACGCGUGGGUAACCUGCCUUAUACAGGGGGAUAACAACCAGAAAUGGUUGCUAAUACCGCAUAAGCGCACAGGACCGCAUGGUCCGGUGUGAAAAACUCCGGUGGUAUAAGAUGGACCCGCGUUGGAUUAGCUAGUUGGCAGGGUAACGGCCUACCAAGGCGACGAUCCAUAGCCGGCCUGAGAGGGUGAACGGCCACAUUGGGACUGAGACACGGCCCAGACUCCUACGGGAGGCAGCAGUGGGGAAUAUUGCACAAUGGGGGAAACCCUGAUGCAGCGACGCCGCGUGAAGGAAGAAGUAUCUCGGUAUGUAAACUUCUAUCAGCAGGGAAGAUAGUGACGG